CAACGGAUAUCUCGGCUCUCGCAUCGAUGAAGAACGUAGCGAAAUGCGAUACUUGGUGUGAAUUGCAGAAUCCCGUGAACCAUCGAGUCUUUGAACGCAAGUUGCGCCCGAAGCCUUCGGGCCGAGGGCACGCCUGCCUGGGCGUCACGCAUCGCGUCGCCCCCCCAACUCCGCUCGAA
RNAcentral lists this ribosomal RNA (179 nucleotides) under Ruellia jussieuoides. RNAcentral describes it as "5.8S ribosomal RNA". The stretch from base 1 to 147 matches the Rfam family "5.8S ribosomal RNA". From Rfam's summary of the family: 5.8S ribosomal RNA (5.8S rRNA) is a component of the large subunit of the eukaryotic ribosome. Lineage: Eukaryota; Viridiplantae; Streptophyta; Magnoliopsida; Lamiales; Acanthaceae. The record is from RNAcentral.